Long non-coding RNA from Solanum tuberosum (potato), 1080 nucleotides. RefSeq lists it as uncharacterized. The record is from RefSeq and is a predicted model, not a curated record. The transcript has 3 exons. NCBI's taxonomy places the organism in Eukaryota, Viridiplantae, Streptophyta, Magnoliopsida, Solanales, Solanaceae.
UACACACGUGAUACCAAUCUCCCACUUCUCCAAAAAGAAAACAUAGAGUACUGCGUAAACUUUCCUCAUUUCCAUCUUUUUCUCUCUAGAACUGAACAAAAAAUCUCAAUUUUCUCAGCAUCUACAGUCAAUGGAGUGAUGGUUAGAAAAAAAUCAGGAAUCGUUGGAGGAAAUUCCGCAAGCACCUUCUCUUCCAUGUUCUCUUUGAAUAAAAUCAUCUAAGCAGAGAUCUAAUUACGUGCGUAUCUCCAAGAACAACAAAAUAGUCUUUCUCCUCUUACAGCUUGUUGUGACUUUGCUUCAAUUGACAUUAUUCAGACCCUAUCUUGGUGUUUCCAUAUCUUCCAGCAUUACAGGCUAAGGAGCAAAGCAAGGACACUGCCGAGAAAAAAGAAACCAACAAGCUGAAGAAGUGGAGAAAAGCGAUCUUGGUGAUCACCAAGACCACUCGACGGUCCGCCGAGUGGCUCUCAGCCCGCCCAAUUUUACAGAACACCACCUUUGAGAUAAGAGAAAUUUGGGCGAAGGGUGUUCCCUAGUGGCGACUCAUCGAACGGAUCGGCGAGGAAAGGUUGUGUUCGCCGAAAUGCACAAGUUUAUCAGUGAAGCUGCAAGCAGAAAGGCGAGAAAAAAAAACAAAGGGCGGUUCACUGAAUCACUCAGCGAACCCCGACUUAGACCGCCAAAAGUCACAAAACAUCAUGGAUGAAAACGAAGAUAAAAGGGCGAUGGACAAGGGUGACCGGCGAUUUGCCAACUGGUCGGCGAAUCCCAUUUUUCCUCGCUGAUCUGCCCCAAAAAAUACCAAAAUUUGGAUCAGUAUAAAUUGCCACUCUUUUGAAGAGAGAUGAUUAUUCAGUCAUUAUGGAUACAAAAAGAGAGAACAAAAACAAUAUUCAUGUUGAUUUGAAGCAUUUUUGUUUGAGAUUUUAAGUUGAGUGUUGUAAUCGAAAGAAGAUUUAUCCAUUUUAAGAUUUUGGAAAUCAAUACCUUGCUAUGGAGCAUGUAUUAUGUAUUGAAUUUUCUUCUUUUAUGAUGAAUAGUUAAAACCCUAUUAUUCUUGGGGGUUUGACCAUGUGA